This 222-nucleotide long non-coding RNA is filed under the name Elaeis guineensis (African oil palm). RNAcentral's name for it is "long non-coding RNA (EGUI_LNC067455)". The record is from RNAcentral. Lineage: Eukaryota; Viridiplantae; Streptophyta; Magnoliopsida; Arecales; Arecaceae.
CUAAUCCCAUGUCCAAAACACAUUUUGGAUGAAUUUUAUGCCAUAUGGGGUGCCCCUUUAAUAAAAAAUGAAGGAGCACCACAUAAGACAGCAAGGGGCACCAACACUUGGCAUCCCAACUCUCUUACACACUCCAUAUUAUUUUUUGCAUGUAAUCCUUGUUAGGAAAUAUAUCCUAAAGCCAAUCAUCUAGGUUGUAGAUGAUUGUACUCCAUAAAGUAU